RNAcentral lists this ribosomal RNA (205 nucleotides) under Cephaleta sp. D2638. RNAcentral's name for it is "partial 28S ribosomal RNA". It matches the Rfam family "Eukaryotic large subunit ribosomal RNA", at positions 967 to 1163 of the family's 3401-position model. The record is from RNAcentral. Lineage: Eukaryota; Metazoa; Arthropoda; Insecta; Hymenoptera; Eunotidae.
UUUCCCUCAGGAUAGCUGGCACUCGCUUGAGCGAGUCUCAUCUGGUAAAGCGAAUGAUUAGAGGCCUUGGGGCCGAAACGACCUCAACCUAUUCUCAAACUUUAAAUGGGUGAGAUCUCUGGCUUGCUUGAACGUUGAAGCCACGAGAUUAUGGAUCAGAGUGCCAAGUGGGCCAAUUUUGGUAAGCAGAACUGGCGCUGUGGGA